ACCGGAAGGCAGACACAUCUGCCCGACAGCAAGAGGUGACCCCUGGACACAGCCAACUCAUACUGCCGUGUGAACAGGGUGGAGAGCAGGACGUUACGGAAAGCACCAUGUGACUUAUUUUGACAGGCGUCAUUGAAGAACGACUUCAAAAUUCGCUGAGGGGCAACAGACAGUCGGCUAGAGAGAACUGUGUUUUCCCAGAAGGGAUGCUUCUUUUGUCAAUGCCAAAUACCAUCCCCUACCCCCCGUGUUUUCUCAGCUCCUUCUCCAGCACCACGCCUGCCUGCCUGCUGCCAUGCCCUGCAAUGAUGGUCAUGGAGUCUAACCCUCUGAAACCGUAAGCCCCGGAUAAACUUUCCUGUGUAAGUCGCCUUGGUUAUGGUUUUAUCACAGCAAUGGGAAAGUAACUAAGACACAUUGGGGAAAAUACUUUCUUGUGUUUUGUUGAUGUUUGAUUCUUUCUUUUUGAAAUUAAGUUUUGUUUUUUUU
This is a long non-coding RNA of Meriones unguiculatus (Mongolian gerbil), 489 nucleotides long. RefSeq lists it as uncharacterized. The record is from RefSeq and is a predicted model, not a curated record. Lineage: Eukaryota; Metazoa; Chordata; Mammalia; Rodentia; Muridae. The transcript has 2 exons.